CUAUCUGCUUCCCUAUUUUUCGAACCCACCGGCAAGACAGCAACGCUAGGCCAGAAGAGAAACGACGGCAUAGUCAUUGUGUUUGCCGGAGUCUCAAACGCCGCCCUCGCUUACACUCUCAUAAAGGUAUGUCCUUCAUUUUUUGAUUUUUAAUUGCUUCAGUAACUUAUGAACUUGUGCUAUUUUUCUCUUAUGAACUAGAGUGAUAAUUUCAAAUAAUCAUAUGAAGGCUAGCUAAUUAUUUGAACUGGAGUGAUAAAUUUUGAAAUUAUUUGAAAUUUUAAAUCUAUGAAGGCUAGCUAGCAUGUUAGUUUCUGAGAGGUGGUCCAAUGAUCAUAUUCAUUUUUAAGAUUUGAGUUAGUGAAAUCAAAACUGGAGUGAUAAAGGUUAAAGUAUUCAACUGUAGAACACAAAAAAUUAAAACUAAACUAUUCUCAUAUGUGGUUGUAUGUCUUACCUGAAUUAGGAGUAGAAAAUCUUUCUUUCUUCUUGCUUAUUUGUACUUUUCCAGAAAGUUUCUUCAUACUCCUUGGCCCUUCGGUAGAACUAAUUGCCUGCAACUUGAGUGUAAAAAAGAAUGAAGUUUUCUCAGUGCCUAUUUGAAAUUUUCCAGAUAAUUUUUUAUACUGCUUUUCUUCAUACUGGUUGGCCCUUCGAUUGAAAUAACUGCUAUGUAUAAGCGUAUGAAGGAAUAAAACUGUCGGGGGUUUAGAAAUUGAAAGAAUAAAUUGCUAAGAUAUACGAGUGUAAGAAAUAACUAACCAUGGAUAUGCUAUUGUUUCAUAACUUCUUUUGAUAUUCCUAUUAUAAUACAUCACAUAAUAUAAGUAUCUCCAUUUCACAGAACAUACCUUAAGUAGCGCAUCCAUGCAUUCAAAUGAGCGAGCCUUGAUUGCACAUAUAAGAGGGGACUCCAUAACUAAAAAACUUAAUUUUAGCUGCAAAGUAAGAGCUGCAAAGAAAUAAAUCAAAAUAUAUAUAUAUAUAUAUAUAUAUAUAUGAGCAUUCAAUAGUGCAUUAGUCUCACAAGAUUUUAUCAAUAUGAUCGGAUACAGUAGCAAAAUUGGCAUGCUAAACUAAUCAAACUCUUUUCCACCUCCAAAACUUUUAAUGAUUAAAGAUAGUCUUGAUUUGCACUCUGAGACAAUAGAAACUUUACAGCUUCGACAUUCCUACUGCAUGAAAUAUUCUGCUAUCUCAAAGGUGUAUGUAUUUUGAGUUCCCUAACACCUCAGGAACUCAAUCUGUUCACCUAUCUAUGAUCUAGAUUUGGAUGAGUUGCACUUAUAUUCCAAAUAGCUUGACAUCUCUAAACUAACUUUGUGUACAGGUACUACUGUUUUUCGUCUGGGGAUUUUGUUGUUUCAAGGUUAGUUCAAUAUCAUCCUUUAUUGCAAACUUACUUUGGGGUUUAAGUGUUAAAAUGUCCUGAUCUAAGCUUGAUUCUGGUCUGCAGAUGCCUAAUGUUUGACAAGUCUGCUCUUAUAAAAGAUUAUAUGUUUGACAAAUUUA
This 1512-nucleotide long non-coding RNA is filed under the name Salvia miltiorrhiza (redroot sage). RNAcentral describes it as "long non-coding RNA (SMIL_LNC007644)". The record is from RNAcentral. Lineage: Eukaryota; Viridiplantae; Streptophyta; Magnoliopsida; Lamiales; Lamiaceae.